This is a long non-coding RNA of Oncorhynchus keta (chum salmon), 3634 nucleotides long. RefSeq lists it as uncharacterized. The record is from RefSeq and is a predicted model, not a curated record. The transcript is spliced from 14 exons. Lineage: Eukaryota; Metazoa; Chordata; Actinopteri; Salmoniformes; Salmonidae.
ACAAGUCCUAGGUUACUGGAGCCAGAGUAGUCCCAACCCCACGGCAGCUAGCAGGAGAACAACAGGUCCUAGGUUACUGGAGCCAGAGUAGUCCCAACCCCACGCCAGCUAGCAGGAGAACAACAAGUCCUAGGUUACUGGAGCCAGAGUAGUCCCAACCCCACGGCAGCUAGCAGGAGAACAGCAAGUCCUAGGUUACUGGAGCCAGAGUAGUCCCAACCCCACGGCAGCUAGCAGGAGAACAGCAAGUCCUAGGUUACUGGAGCCAGAGUAGUCCCAACCCCACGGCAGCUAGCAGGAGGACAACAAGUCCUAGGUUACUGGAGCCAGAGUAGUCCCAACCCCACGCCAGCUAGCAGGAGAACAACAGGUCCUAGGUUACUGGAGCCAGAGUAGUCCCAACCCCACGCCAGCUAGCAGGAGAACAACAGGUCCUAGGUUACUGGAGCCAGAGUAGUCCCAACCCCACGCCAGCUAGCAGGAGAACAACAAGUCCUAGGUUACUGGAGCCAGAGUAGUCCCAACCCCACGGCAGCUAGCAGGAGAACAACAGGUCCUAGGUUACUGGAGCCAGAGUAGUCCCAACCCCACGGCAGCUAGCAGGAGAACAAGUCCUAGGUUACUGGAGCCAGAGUAGUCCCAACCCCACGCCAGCUAGCAGGAGAACAACAGGUCCUAGGUUACUGGAGCCAGAGUAGUCCCAACCCCACGCCAGCUAGCAGGAGAACAACAAGUCCUAGGUUACUGGAGCCAGAGUAGUCCCAACCCCACGGCAGCUAGCAGGAGGACAACAAGUCCUAGGUUACUGGAGCCAGAGUAGUCCCAACCCCACGCCAGCUAGCAGGAGAACAACAGGUCCUAGGUUACUGGAGCCAGAGUAGUCCCAACCCCACGGCAGCUAGCAGGAGAACAAGUCCUAGGUUACUGGAGCCAGAGUAGUCCCAACCCCACGGCAGCUAGCAGGAGAACAACAGGUCCUAGGUUACUGGAGCCAGAGUAGUCCCAACCCCACGGCAGCUAGCAGGAGAACAGCAAGUCCUAGGUUACUGGAGCCAGAGUAGUCCCAACCCCACGGCAGCUAGCAGGAGGACAACAAGUCCUAGGUUACUGGAGCCAGAGUAGUCCCAACCCCACGCCAGCUAGCAGGAGAACAACAGGUCCUAGGUUACUGGAGCCAGAGUAGUCCCAACCCCACGCCAGCUAGCAGGAGAACAACAGGUCCUAGGUUACUGGAGCCAGAGUAGUCCCAACCCCACGCCAGCUAGCAGGAGAACAACAGGUCCUAGGUUACUGGAGCCAGAGUAGUCCCAACCCCACGCCAGCUAGCAGGAGAACAACAAGUCCUAGGUUACUGGAGCCAGAGUAGUCCCAACCCCACGGCAGCUAGCAGGAGAACAACAGGUCCUAGGUUACUGGAGCCAGAGUAGUCCCAACCCCACGGCAGCUAGCAGGAGAACAAGUCCUAGGUUACUGGAGCCAGAGUAGUCCCAACCCCACGGCAGCUAGCAGGAGAACAGGUCCUAGGUUACUGGAGCCAGAGUAGUCCCAACCCCACGCCAGCUAGCAGGAGAACAACAAGUCCUAGGUUACUGGAGCCAGAGUAGUCCCAACCCCACGGCAGCUAGCAGGAGAACAACAGGUCCUAGGUUACUGGAGCCAGAGUAGUCCCAACCCCACGGCAGCUAGCAGGAGAACAACAGGUCCUAGGUUACUGGAGCCAGAGUAGUCCCAACCCCACGGCAGCUAGCAGGAGAACAACAGGUCCUAGGUUACUGGAGCCAGAGUAGUCCCAACCCCACGGCAGCUAGCAGGAGGACAACAAGUCCAAGGUUACUGGAGCCAGAGUAGUCCCAACCCCACGGCAGCUAGCAGGAAAACAACAAGUCCUAGGUUACUGGAGCCAGAGUAGUCCCAACCCCACGCCAGCUAGCAGGAGAACAACAAGUCCUAGGUUACUGGAGCCAGAGUAGUCCCAACCCCACGGCAGCUGGCAGGAGAACAACAAGUCCUAGGUUACUGGAGCCAGAGUAGUCCCAACCCCACGGCAGCUAGCAGGAGAACAACAAGUCCUAGGUUACUGGAGCCAGAGUAGUCCCAACCCCACGGCAGCUAGCAGGAGAACAAGUCCAAGGUUACUGGAGCCAGAGUAGUCCCAACCCCACGGCAGCUAGCAGGAGGACAACAAGUCCUAGGUUACUGGAGCCAGAGUAGUCCCAACCCCACAGCAGCUAGCAGGAGAACAACAAGUCCUAGGUUACUGGAGCCAGAGUAGUCCCAACCCCACGCCAGCUAGCAGGAGAACAACAAGUCCUAGGUUACUGGAGCCAGAGUAGUCCCAACCCCACGGCAGCUAGCAGGAGAACAGCAAGUCCUAGGUUACUGGAGCCAGAGUAGUCCCAACCCCACGGCAGCUAGCAGGAGAACAGCAAGUCCUAGGUUACUGGAGCCAGAGUAGUCCCAACCCCACGGCAGCUAGCAGGAGGACAACAAGUCCUAGGUUACUGGAGCCAGAGUAGUCCCAACCCCACGCCAGCUAGCAGGAGAACAAGUCCUAGGUUACUGGAGCCAGAGUAGUCCCAACCCCACGGCAGCUAGCAGGAGAACAACAAGUCCUAGGUUACUGGAGCCAGAGUAGUCCCAACCCCACGGCAGCUAGCAGGAGAACAACAAGUCCUAGGUUACUGGAGCCAGAGUAGUCCCAACCCCACGGCAGCUAGCAGGAGAACAACAAGUCCUAGGUUACUGGAGCCAGAGUAGUCCCAACCCCACGGCAGCUAGCAGGAGGACAACAAGUCCUAGGUUACUGGAGCCAGAGUAGUCCCAACCCCACGGCAGCUAGCAGGAGGACAACAAGUCCUAGGUUACUGGAGCCAGAGUAGUCCCAACCCCACGCCAGCUAGCAGGAGAACAAGUCCUAGGUUACUGGAGCCAGAGUAGUCCCAACCCCACGGCAGCUAGCAGGAGAACAACAAGUCCUAGGUUACUGGAGCCAGAGUAGUCCCAACCCCACGGCAGCUAGCAGGAGAACAACAAGUCCUAGGUUACUGGAGCCAGAGUAGUCCCAACCCCACGGCAGCUAGCAGGAGAACAACAAGUCCUAGGUUACUGGAGCCAGAGUAGUCCCAACCCCACGGCAGCUAGCAGGAGGACAACAAGUCCUAGGUUACUGGAGCCAGAGUAGUCCCAACCCCACGGCAGCUAGCAGGAGGACAACAAGUCCUAGGUUACUGGAGCCAGAGUAGUCCCAACCCCACGGCAGCUAGCAGGAGAACAACAAGUCCUAGGUUACUGGAGCCAGAGUAGUCCCAACCCCACGGCAGCUAGCAGGAGAACAACAAGUCCUAGGUUACUGGAGCCAGAGUAGUCCCAACCCCACGGCAGCUAGCAGGAGAACAAGUCCUAGGUUACUGGAGCCAGAGUAGUCCCAACCCCACGGCAGCUAGCAGGAGAACUAGUCCUAGGUUACUGGAGCCAGAGUAGUCCCAACCCCACGGCAGCUAGCAGGAGGACAACAAGUCCUAGGUUACUGGAGCCAGAGUAGUCCCAACCCCACGCCAGCUAGCAGGAGAACAGCAAGUCCUAGGUUACUGGAGCCAGAGUAGUCCCAACCCCACGGCAGCUAGCAGGAGAACAA